GACGAACGCUGGCGGCGUGCUUAACACAUGCAAGUCGAACGCUGAAGACCUGGCUUUUGUUGGGUUGGAUGAGUGGCGAACGGGUGAGUAACACGUGAGUAACCUGCCCUCUUCUUUGGGAUAACGCCCGGAAACGGGUGCUAAUACUGGAUAUUCACUGGCCUUCGCAUGGGGGUUGGUGGAAAGGUUUGUUCUGGUGGGGGAUGGGCUCGCGGCCUAUCAGCUUGUUGGUGGGGUGAUGGCCUACCAAGGCUUUGACGGGUAGCCGGCCUGAGAGGGUGACCGGUCACAUUGGGACUGAGAUACGGCCCAGACUCCUACGGGAGGCAGCAGUGGGGAAUAUUGCACAAUGGGCGAAAGCCUGAUGCAGCGACGCCGCGUGAGGGAUGGAGGCCUUCGGGUUGUAAACCUCUUUCGCUCAUGGUCAAGCCGCAACUGUGGGUUGUGGUGAGGGUAGUGGGUAAAGAAGCGCCGGCUAACUACGUGCCAGCAGCCGCGGUAAUACGUAGGGCGCGAGCGUUGUCCGGAAUUAUUGGGCGUAAAGGGCUUGUAGGCGGUUGGUCGCGUCUGCCGUGAAAUUCUCUGGCUUAACUGGGGGCGUGCGGUGGGUACGGGCUGACUUGAGUGCGGUAGGGGAGACUGGAACUCCUGGUGUAGCGGUGGAAUGCGCAGAUAUCAGGAAGAACACCGGUGGCGAAGGCGGGUCUCUGGGCCGUUAC
This 719-nucleotide ribosomal RNA is filed under the name uncultured Actinomycetes bacterium. Its description in RNAcentral is "bacterial SSU rRNA". It matches the Rfam family "Bacterial small subunit ribosomal RNA", at positions 28 to 740 of the family's 1533-position model. The record is from RNAcentral. Lineage: Bacteria; Bacillati; Actinomycetota; Actinomycetes.